This 464-nucleotide ribosomal RNA is filed under the name Vreelandella stevensii. Its description in RNAcentral is "partial 16S ribosomal RNA". It matches the Rfam family "Bacterial small subunit ribosomal RNA", at positions 338 to 794 of the family's 1533-position model. Lineage: Bacteria; Pseudomonadati; Pseudomonadota; Gammaproteobacteria; Oceanospirillales; Halomonadaceae. The record is from RNAcentral.
CCUACGGGUGGCAGCAGUGGGGAAUAUUGGACAAUGGGCGAAAGCCUGAUCCAGCCAUGCCGCGUGUGUGAAGAAGGCCUUCGGGUUGUAAAGCACUUUCAGUGGGGAAGAAAGCCUUGGGGCUAAUACCCUCGAGGAAGGACAUCACCCACAGAAGAAGCACCGGCUAACUCCGUGCCAGCAGCCGCGGUAAUACGGAGGGUGCGAGCGUUAAUCGGAAUUACUGGGCGUAAAGCGCGCGUAGGCGGUCUGAUAAGCCGGUUGUGAAAGCCCCGGGCUCAACCUGGGAACGGCAUCCGGAACUGUCAGGCUAGAGUGCAGGAGAGGAAGGUAGAAUUCCCGGUGUAGCGGUGAAAUGCGUAGAGAUCGGGAGGAAUACCAGUGGCGAAGGCGGCCUUCUGGACUGACACUGACGCUGAGGUGCGAAAGCGUGGGUAGCAAACAGGAUUAGAUACCCGAGUAUC